CGGGGAGAUAGUGACAAUAAAUAACAAUAUAGGGCUCUUAUGGGUCUUAUAAUUGGAAUGAGUACAAUUUAAAUCCCUUAACGAGGAUCAAUUGGAGGGCAAGUCUGGUGCCAGCAGCCGCGGUAAUUCCAGCUCCAAUAGCGUAUAUUAAAGUUGUUGCCGUUAAAAAGCUCGUAGUCGAACUUCGGCCUUUGCCGCCCGGUCCGCCUAUUUGGGUGUGUACUGGAGCGGNGGAGGCUUACCUCGUGGUGAGCAAUCAUCCCCUUUACUGGGAGUGGUUGGGAACCAUGAUUUUUACUUUGAAAAAAUUAGAGUGUUCAAAGCAGGCUUAUGCCCGAAUACAUUAGCAUGGAAUAAUAAAAUAGGACGUGCGGUUCUAUUUUGUUGGUUUCUAGGAUCGCCGUAAUGAUUAAUAGGGAUAGUUGGGGGCAUUCGUAUUCAAUUGCUAGAGGUGAAAUUCUUGGAUUUAUUGAAGACGAACUACUGCGAAAGCAUUUGCCAAGGAUGUUUUCAUUGAUCAAGAACGAAGGUUAGGGGAUCGAAAACGAUCAGAUACCGUUGUAGUCUUAACAGUAAACGAUGCCGACUAGGGAUCGGACGAGGAUUUUUAAUGACUCGUUCGGCACCUGAAGAGAAAUCUUUAAGUCUAGGUUCGGGGGGGAGUAUGGUCGCAAGGCUGAAACUUAAAGGAAUUGACGGAAGGGCACCACCAGGUGUGGAGCCUGCGGCUUAAUUUGACUCAACACGGGGAAACUCACCAGGUCCAGACACGACAAGGAUUGACAGAUUGAUAGCUCUUUCUUGAUU
This 807-nucleotide ribosomal RNA is filed under the name uncultured Cyphobasidiales. RNAcentral describes it as "SSU rRNA". It matches the Rfam family "Eukaryotic small subunit ribosomal RNA", at positions 457 to 1267 of the family's 1831-position model. The record is from RNAcentral. Lineage: Eukaryota; Fungi; Basidiomycota; Cystobasidiomycetes; Cyphobasidiales.